GAUGAACGCUGGCGGCGUGCCUAACACAUGCAAGUCGAACGGAGUUAUGCAGAGGAAGUUUUCGGAUGGAAUCGGCGUAACUUAGUGGCGGACGGGUGAGUAACGCGUGGGAAACCUGCCCUGUACCGGGGGAUAACACUUAGAAAUAGGUGCUAAUACCGCAUAAGCGCACAGCUUCACAUGAAGCAGUGUGAAAAACUCCGGUGGUACAGGAUGGUCCCGCGUCUGAUUAGCCAGUUGGCAGGGUAACGGCCUACCAAAGCGACGAUCAGUAGCCGGCCUGAGAGGGUGAACGGGCCACAUUGGGACUGAGACACGGCCCAGACUCCUACGGGAGGCAGCAGUGGGGGAUAUUGCACAAUGGGGGAAACCCUGAUGCAGCGACGCCGCGUGGAGGAAGAAGGUUUUCGGAUUGUAAACUCC
RNAcentral lists this ribosomal RNA (423 nucleotides) under uncultured bacterium. RNAcentral's name for it is "bacterial SSU rRNA". It matches the Rfam family "Bacterial small subunit ribosomal RNA", at positions 28 to 433 of the family's 1533-position model. The record is from RNAcentral.